CACACACACACAGACUUCUGUCUGUGUGUGUGUGUGUGUGGGGGGGGAGAAGUCCACCAACUUGUACGCAUUUCUUCAGUAGGAUUAUGACACACGAUUUCCAGUAAGACUAUUCUGGACGGUCUGUAUCAGAAAACAUGAUUGGAUUUGUGUUUCCCUCCUCUGUCUCUCUCUCAAGUUUGCCAACAAGUUUGUCUUAGCAGAUGUGUCAACAUUGUUUCCACGACCCUUAACCGGAAAUAAAUGAGUUGCUGUAGCUUACAGUUCCCUCCAGGAACGCAAUGUCACAAACAUGGCUACACCUCCGAAAUCAAACCUAAACACAACCUCAUUAUUUAUAGGAUGAUGUCAAAUAUUUCAUAGCACCUCCCAAAAAACAUCACAAUAUCCACGUGUUAAUGUGUACAGUGAGACAAGCCAACAACAGUUUUGCAGCAACAGACCGGCACUGUAUCAACAGAGUGAUAAAUAGAGUGUGGCUUGACGGUUUAAUCUCAGAAAUAUGAGAGCGGAGAGGUAGAAAACGGGGAGUCUCACCUCCUUUCGUGCCUGACCGAGUGAGUCAUGUUUCCACACAGUGCAUCAUCAUCGGGAGGCUAUUUCAAAAAGAUGCUCGUGCCACACACACACACACACACACACAGCUGGAGGUAAGAUGGAUGAGACAAAGAGGUGAAUGGCAGCCCUCUGCUGGGAUGAAGAGGAGGCCCUGCAGAAUGAAGAAUGUCCGGCUGGGAUCAGGAGACAUUUCUGAUUUGACACGGUUGCGCCAAAAUGAAUGUGAUGUCAGUCAGGAAGGAACAAAAUCUCCUGCAACACCAAAUGUUUACACACUAAUCACAGGCGCCCAGGUGCUGUUGCUUUUAGCAUCAGGUUAUUUGUAGUCCCAUAUUAACAUCGGAUGCAGCAAUCAGUGGCUGAGCAAACAAACAGGCACACACAAAACACACAAACGGGAUUUGGAGUUGUGCUAAGUGUAUUGUUUCCACGCUAAUUGCACACUACGGGAAAACCCUUGCUUGCUUUUCUCAGGAAUAAACCCUUGAAACGUGUACACAGUCACAUACACAGCAGAACAAACCCACAUUGAGGGGUUUGUCUUUUCCUCUGUCUUUGUGCACGAGGCCGCGGUGUUUUUCAAGACUGAAAGUUGUAGUGCAUGUCAUCCACUAAAGGCCGUCCGGCGUGACUGAGCCACCCGCCGCUGAGAGUGAAACAAAAGACACCGCCUGCAGAAUGAAGCUGUUGUGUUUUCCUCGGCCCCUGCCAUCCCGGCCUCCUCCUCCUCGGCAUCUUCCUCCCUGCCAUCCCAGCCUCUUCCUCCUCGGCCCUUCCUCACUGCCACCCGGCCUCUUCCUCCUCGGCCUCUUCCUCCCUGCCAUCCCAGCCUCUUCCUCCUCGGCCUCUUCCUCACUGCCACCCGGCCUCUUCCUCCUUGGGCCUCUUCCUCCCUGCCAUCCCAGCCUCUUCCUCCCCGGCCUCUUCCUCCCUGCCAUCCCAGCCUCCUCCUCCUCGGCCUCUUCCUCCUCGGCCUCUUCCUCCCUGCCAUCCCGGCCUCCUCCUCCUCGGCCUCUUCCUCCCUGCCAUCCCGGCCUCCUCCUCCUCGGCCUCUUCCUCCCUGCCAUCCCGGUGUCUGUGUACACUUCAUUUCACCAGUCGGGCCCUUCCUCUGCCGGGGAUCACAACGCAGGCCGUGAAAAACAUGUUCAACUUCAAUGGAGAAGGAGCCCAGUUCACACUGGAACAGAGAGGGACAGUUGUUAUCGGGGGCCACAAAGCGCUUUAUUCCGACCUUGGAUUUUUCAAAUAGUAUAAUGGUUAAGGAUGUAAAAAUGUCCAUAAAUCAGUAAUAAUGAAACGCCCAGUGAGUCUAUGACAGGGAUUAUUUUAGACAAUUUGUGAGCUGGUGUUGUUAAGUUUCCUCACAGUAACGUGAUCGCUGUUUGUCACGCGUUUGUCUCCGGUGUGAUUUUGUCGCCUUAAUCUCAGCAGCUUCCCUUGUUUUGAAUCCUCAACGUUAACCACUGUGUUUACUUCCCACCGCGUGCCAGCGUGUACAGAAAGUAGGAGUCUGGCCGAGCGUCAGUGGGACGAGUUGUGACGAGAACGAGCUGUUCAGGCCUCCGUCCUCCUCAGUUCGACCCCGUGAACAUACAAGCAACAAGCCUUCUGUUUCUCUUCGCACAGCAUUUGAUUCAUCCUUUGGUGUUUGGAAGUAAUUCAAAUCUCAAUAACCAUGACGGAAUCUGACUUUUAUUAGGCCUCGCUUUAAAAGAGAAUUGUAAUAUCUUAUGUUUGUUUUGUUGGCCGGAGGGAGGAACCACAACACUCAUGACUCGACGGCAAAUACUGUUUAUAUCAGCGGCAGCUUACAGGAAAUGAGAGGAAACGGCUCGGCGUAUAAAGGUGAUAACACUCGCCGAUCAGCAUCUCCGAGAACUAAAUAUGUGUAAAUAUCUUGUUAAAUAUGAGGUAACCAACUGUUCCUUUAAAGGCGUCCCAGCCUGACAACUAAACGUUUAUGCAUCACAACGGACCCACAAACCAUCCGGGUACUCGGGGGCACAGAGUCAGCACGACACGGCAGGGUUGGGUGCAAUAUAACUUUAUUUAUUUAGUCAGCUGUGCUGAUGCCAAUCCGUUCCCUGAGCCACUCCCCCCUCUCUCCCGCUGCAGACGAGCCAAAACCACGCCCGCCACCACAGUGAUCUACUCACCUGCAUUACGCCAAACUGCUCGGCAUCUUCAACAGUCUGAAACAGCCGCGUAAUGAAACGUGAAAUAAACGGUUUAAGCAUGUAUUUAACGUUGAAUAAUUACGUAUUGGUAUUGAGACGAGACAUUUGAGUGGACUUGCAGCAUGUCAGAAUUAAUUCCAGCACAUCAACAAGUAUCCAAUUCACACCUUUUUUCCAGGAAAUGCUCAUAUAUUUUGCAUGAAAGCACUUCGCAACAAUGGAGGAGAGGAGAGCGAUUCGGGGCACGACACGCUGACUGUGAGAGGUCACGAAGGGUUAAAGGUCACAGGGGGUGAGGGAUCAUUAAGGCUGACAUGAAGCCAGCAGCAGCAGGUGUGGGGAUGUUUUAAGAAUCACAUUAUUGUAUCAUCCACUGUAUACGCGUGUGUGCCAGCAUGACGUGGGAGGCCGUCGGCCUGUCCGGUAAAAACUACUCCCAUCUGGAAUCUGGGAUUGUCGGAGACGCACGAGAGGAGAAGGGCGAAAACAACCGAGGCUGCAGGAGACGGACGAGAGAGAAAACAGGAAGAGCAAUUUGUCGUUCACAGGACACAUUACAAAAGUCCACAGAUAACCGGCAGAUAAACGGCAUUGUACACAGAUUUUAUACUCGCUAGGGGGAAAUAAUUCACUUGAUUUCAAUAAAGGACACUUGGUCUUUGUCAGCAGAGGAAAUACACAUAAGUUAAAAUGGCUUAGCCCUGUCGUUGAGUUUCAUGGCAGGUGUCAAAAACGUGUUUGAGAUUUCAGAUUUUUGUGAAUAGUUAUUGUAUGAUAUUAUGAAAUGAGAAAAUCAUCCAGUAUUAAUCUGCAUUCAGACUAUAUAAAAGGAGGGCCAUAUGAAGACUGCUGCUGCCUGUGUGAAAGAAUAUAACAAAUAAUACUUAAUUGCUCAUCUAGACACUAGACGAAAAAGUGCAAAUAUACAUUUUAUACGGGGUAUAAAAAAAGAUCAAUAUGUAUGACAAGUGGCAUCUAGCUACUGUAAACGUAUGUAUCAAUACCAAAGCUCAGGUUUAAGUGCAUAUGAUUAAAAUACUGCAGAAAUAAUCAUGCGAUCUACAACAGGUGUCAUUAUUCUCUGAAAGCUCCACUCAGCAGCUCAGCAGCAACAGACCUGUUUGAGUGGGAAGCCUUCAAAAAUGCCGCUGUGCAUAUCGGCUGUAUACGGUCCUGGGGUGGGAGGUCCUCUCAGCGUGUGUGUUUAUGUCUGUGUGUGUGUGUGUGUGUGUGUGUUGCAUGCCACAUUCCUCCAAUCCACCGCGGCAGAAAGGGCAGCGGCCCCACUUCACCAGAGGUGCUCAGGGGACCAGGUGAGGCCGUCUGCACGCCAGCACCAUCAAGUCCAUUUAAAAAUGUUACGUGAUCUUCAUCAGUGGACACGUCCAAUUGAUUUUGCUCCUCUUCUGAGCACUUUAAAUGAAGAACACGCAACCUUUCAAAAAGCAA
This is a long non-coding RNA of Gasterosteus aculeatus aculeatus (three-spined stickleback), 4187 nucleotides long. The record is from Ensembl. Lineage: Eukaryota; Metazoa; Chordata; Actinopteri; Perciformes; Gasterosteidae.